Molecule: long non-coding RNA, 244 nt
Filed under: Mytilus galloprovincialis (Mediterranean mussel)
Lineage: Eukaryota; Metazoa; Mollusca; Bivalvia; Mytilida; Mytilidae
Source: RNAcentral
CAUAUUUUCCGUAUGUAAAGUGACCUCAGUGUGACCCAUCUCGUAAAAAUCCGGUGAUCACAAUACGCAUAUAUGUCCUUAAAAUAAACUAUUAUCAGAAUUUACAUGUUAAACACGUGCUCAAUUUCUAUGCUUUUUUGUUGAUUUUUUGUCGAUUGUUGACAAACAGGUGACAAUCGUUAAACUUCGGCUUCAAAACACGAACUUUAAUUACCUGCCAUAUUUUCACAACAACACUGACCGA